Molecule: small nuclear RNA, 111 nt
Organism: Jaculus jaculus (lesser Egyptian jerboa)
Lineage: Eukaryota; Metazoa; Chordata; Mammalia; Rodentia; Dipodidae
Source: Ensembl
AUGCUUGUUUCAGCAGCACAUAUACUAAAAUUGGAACUAUACAGAAAAGACUAUAAUGCAUAGCCUUUGUGUAAGGAUGGCAUGCAAAUUUAUGAAGCAUUCCAUAUUUUC